GACGAACCGCGCGAACGUUGUUCGGAAUCACUGGGCUUAAAGGGCGCGUAGGCGGGCUGUCAAGUCUGGGGUGAAAUCCCGCGGCUCAACCGUGGAACUGCCUUAGAUACUGACGGCCUCGAGGGAGAUAGGGGCGAGCGGAACUGUGAGUGGAGCGGUGAAAUGCGUUGAUAUUCACAGGAACUCCGGUGGCGAAGGCGGCUCGCUGGAUCUCUUCUGACGCUGAGGCGCGAAAGCUAGGGGAGCAAACGGG
RNAcentral lists this ribosomal RNA (253 nucleotides) under uncultured bacterium. RNAcentral describes it as "partial 16S ribosomal RNA". It matches the Rfam family "Bacterial small subunit ribosomal RNA", at positions 524 to 776 of the family's 1533-position model. The record is from RNAcentral.